This 511-nucleotide ribosomal RNA is filed under the name uncultured bacterium. RNAcentral's name for it is "bacterial SSU rRNA". It matches the Rfam family "Bacterial small subunit ribosomal RNA", at positions 28 to 531 of the family's 1533-position model. The record is from RNAcentral.
GAUGAACGCUAGCGGGAGGCUUAACACAUGCAAGUCGAGGGGCAGCAUAGGGUAGCAAUACUCUGAUGGCGACCGGCAAACGGGUGAGUAACGCGUAUGCAACCUACCCUGUACAGGGGGAUAACCCGGAGAAAUUCGGACUAAUAUCCCGUAAUAAUAUCCGGAGGCAUCUUUGGAUAUUUAAAGUUCCGACGGUACGGGAUGGGCAUGCGUAACAUUAACUGGUUGGUAAGGUAACGGCUUACCAAGGCUAUGAUGUUUAGGGGUCCUGAGAGGGUGGUCCCCCACACUGGUACUGAGACACGGACCAGACUCCUACGGGAGGCAGCAGUGAGGAAUAUUGGUCAAUGGGCGCAAGCCUGAACCAGCCAUCCCGCGUGCAGGAAGACGGCCCUAUGGGUUGUAAACUGCUUUUCCAGGGAGAGAAACUUACGCACGUGUUGCGUGACUGACGGUACCCUGGGAAUAAGCAUCGGCUAACUCCGUGCCAGCAGCCGCGGUAAAACGUCUA